UAAAAAAUAAGCUAAAUAAGCUAAUAGGUUCAUACCCUAUAUAUAAAGGCCCCUAUCCUUUUUUUUUAA
Molecule: transfer RNA, 69 nt
Filed under: Lucifotychus sp. 1 EF-2015
Lineage: Eukaryota; Metazoa; Arthropoda; Insecta; Coleoptera; Staphylinidae
Description: tRNA-Met
Source: RNAcentral